CCGUGCUAGACGGGGAGAUGGCGGUACCUUGUAACCUGCAAUCCGCCUUAGCAGGGUUUAACUCUCACUAGAGGUAUUGUCUAGGUAAGGUCAGGCCUGUACAAGUAGUGUUGAAAUCUGGGCCCUAUGCAAUAGAAAUCUAUGAACAUGGUCAGGUCCGGAAGGAAGCAGCCAUAAGUAGAACCUUCUAUGUGUUGUAGAAUAACCUAGCUGAGCUAACUAUACAUGCAGCGCUUAUUUAUUCAUAUCAACGGUGAGUGCACGG
Molecule: signal recognition particle RNA, 265 nt
Filed under: Priestia megaterium
Lineage: Bacteria; Bacillati; Bacillota; Bacilli; Caryophanales; Bacillaceae
Description: large signal recognition particle RNA
Rfam family: Bacterial large signal recognition particle RNA
About the family: The signal recognition particle (SRP) is a universally conserved ribonucleoprotein involved in the co-translational targeting of proteins to membranes. Archaeal SRP consists of a 7S RNA and homologues of the eukaryotic SRP19 and SRP54 proteins.
Source: RNAcentral